GUAAGUACAAUGAGGAAGAGAGUAUGUUAGUUAUGUUUCUACAGGGAGGAUGCUGCCAAAGAUUGCGAGCAGCGCUGAAACAGCUGACAGAAGUUCACUUCUGAGUAUCUGGGCUGAAGGGAUAGGUUAUUCUGUGUAGGUCUGGCGUUUUUCCGCGUUACAGGAAAUCGAGUGUAAUUAGGGUGGUACCGCGAAGUCAAGACUUUCGCCCCUUGG
RNAcentral lists this non-coding RNA (216 nucleotides) under uncultured Sporomusa sp. RNAcentral describes it as "T-box". It matches the Rfam family "T-box leader". Rfam says of the family: Uncharged tRNA acts as the effector for transcription antitermination of genes in the T-box leader family. T-boxes are found upstream of many aminoacyl-tRNA synthetase genes and some amino acid biosynthetic genes usually in Gram-positive bacteria. The anticodon of a specific tRNA base pairs to a specifier sequence within the T-box motif, and the NCCA acceptor tail of the tRNA base pairs to a conserved bulge in the T-box antiterminator hairpin. The record is from RNAcentral. Lineage: Bacteria; Bacillati; Bacillota; Negativicutes; Selenomonadales; Sporomusaceae.